Long non-coding RNA from Triticum dicoccoides, 529 nucleotides. RefSeq lists it as uncharacterized. The transcript has 3 exons. The record is from RefSeq and is a predicted model, not a curated record. Lineage: Eukaryota; Viridiplantae; Streptophyta; Magnoliopsida; Poales; Poaceae.
GUUCGACGCCAAUCCAUUCCCCAACCUAACCUAGCGCGAGCGGCGGCGGCGGCGGCGAUGUGGCCAGUACUGCAAGCAGCGGCCAAGGGCCAACGGAGCCGGCGACGGGCGACCAGAUGAAGAAGGGUGUUAGCAUAUUUGCAUUGUGGGAAAGCGCUUCGAAGGCAAAGAAAACAGGUAAGAUGGGAGGAUGGCACAGGCUGUACUACCAAAUUAGACCAUCUCCAUGGGAGAUCGAGAUUGUUGGUGGUUCAAUCUCUACUGCUCAGUGUCUAGCACUAUCAAUGACCUGCAGACACAAACAAUGUUGGAACCUUUCCUUUAUUACUCCAGGACCACCCAAGUUAAUGGUUCUACAUCUAUUGUAGAUUAUAUAUGUAUGAAUCCUGUCUCUGGCAGCAUCAAUGACUUGCAGACACAAACAUUCAUAUACUUCUAUGUGUAAAAUUAAACCAAUUGUGAUUAGUAUAGAUUGUUGUAUUGUUCCUUGGACCGGCAUAGUUAUAAUUGACAUUGUUCUACGUGUUAA